GAUAAACGCUGGCGGCGUGCCUAACACAUGCAAGUCGAACGCGCUUCGCAAGAAGCGAGUGGCGGACGGGUGAGGAACACGUGGGUGACCUGCCUUUCAGUGAGGAAUACCGGCGAGAAAUCGCCGACAAGACCGCAUACGCUCUUCUCUUCAGUGAGGAGAGGAAAGUCGCAAGACGCUGGAAGAGGGGCCCGCGGCCGAUUAGCUAGCUGGUGAGGUAAUGGCUUACCAGGGCGACGAUCGGUAGCUGGUCUGAGAGGACGAUCAGCCACACUGG
Molecule: ribosomal RNA, 277 nt
Filed under: uncultured bacterium
Lineage: Bacteria
Description: partial 16S ribosomal RNA
Rfam family: Bacterial small subunit ribosomal RNA
Source: RNAcentral